GAUGAACGCUGGCGGCGUGCCUAAUACAUGCGAGUCGAGCGAACAGACGAGGAGCUUGCUCCUCUGACGUUAGCGGCGGACGGGUGAGUAACACGUGGAUAACCUACCUAUAAGACUGGGAUAACUUCGGGAAGCCGGAGCUAAUACCGGAUAAUAUAUUGAACCGCAUGGUUCAAUAGUGAAAGACGGUUUUGCUGUCACUUAUAGAUGGAUCCGCGCCGCAUUAGCUAGUUGGUAAGGUAACGGCUUGCCAAGGCAACGAUGCGUAGCCGACCUGAGAGGGUGAUCGGCCACACUGGAACUGAGACACGGUCCAGACUCCUACGGGAGGCAGCAGUAGGGAAUCUUCCGCAAUGGGCGAAAGCUUGACGGAGCAACGCCGCGUGAGUGAUGAAGGUCUUCGGAUCGUAAAACUCUGUUAUUAGGGAAGAACAAAUGUGUAAGUAACUAUGCACGUCUUGACGGUACCUAAUCAGAAAGCCACGGCUAACUACGUG
RNAcentral lists this ribosomal RNA (497 nucleotides) under uncultured bacterium. RNAcentral's name for it is "partial 16S ribosomal RNA". It matches the Rfam family "Bacterial small subunit ribosomal RNA", at positions 28 to 507 of the family's 1533-position model. The record is from RNAcentral.